Non-coding RNA from Plasmodium gaboni, 305 nucleotides. RefSeq annotates it as RNase MRP. The transcript has a single exon. Lineage: Eukaryota; Apicomplexa; Aconoidasida; Haemosporida; Plasmodiidae. The record is from RefSeq and is a predicted model, not a curated record.
GUCAAAUUUAACAUAAUAAUGUUACUUGCAGAAAAUAUACAGAAAAUCUCUUUUUUUUUUGAGAAGAAGAUUUUCAUUUCUUCUGUUAGGAAAGUCCCCGAGAUAAACAGUUAGUUAUUCUAAAUGUUUUUAGAAAAGCUGAUAACUUAAUAAGUUAUUAAUCUUAUAGUUACCUUUGUAGAAAAUAUAUAAAUUUUCUCAAAGGAUAUAAAUAUUAAAAUAGCGAGUUAAAUGUAACGUGUGUUCUAUAAUAUAUUUUAUUGGACAUCACCAAAUGGGGCUUAUACGUAUGUUAAAUUUACCAU